CGUAGCCGAUGGACAACAGGUUAAUAUUCCUGUACUGCAGUAUAACAGAACUGUGGGGACACGUAAGGAGAGCGGGAGCCGGGAAUGGAAAGCCCGGUACAAGCGAGGUACCAGUAUGGUAGGAAAAACCGCCAUGCAAUGGGAAGACGUGAUGUGGAGUGAAAUAUAGUAACGAAGCCCGUGAGCCAUGCGUCAAGAAAAGCCGCUAUUGUUUAUAUUGUACCCGUACCUUAAACCGACACAGGUGGAUGAGGAGAGAAUCCUAAGGCCGGCGGAAGAAGUAUUGCCAAGGAACUCGGCAAAAUGGCCCCGUAACUUAGGGAGAAGGGGUGCCUGCGAGAGCAGGCCGCAGAGAAUAGGCUCAAGCAACUGUUUAGCAAAAACACAGGUCUAUGCGAAACCGAAAGGUGAGGUAUAUGGGCUGACGCCUGCCCGGUGCUGGAAGGUUAAGAGGAGAGGUUAGACGCAAGUCGAAGCUUUGAAUUUAAGCCCCAGUAAACGGCGGCCGUAACAAUAACGGUCCUAAGGUAGCGAAAUUCCUUGUCGGGUAAGUUCCGACCCGCACGAAAGGCGUAAUGAUUUGAGCGCUGUCUCGGCAAUACAUCCGGUGAAAUUGAAGUGCCAGUGAAGAUGCUGGCUACCCGCGCCAGGACGGAAAGACCCCAUGGAGCUUUACUCCAGUUUGGCACUGGGGUCCGGUGUUGCAUGUACAGGAUAGGUGGGAGGCUGAGAGAUAGUGACGUCAGUUGCUAUGGAGCCGCUGUUGGGAUACCACCCUUGUGAUAUUGGGCUUCUAACCAGCCGCCGUGAUCCGGCGGUGGGACAAUGCCAGGCGGGGAGUUUGACUGGGGCGGUCGCCUCCGAAAGGGUAUCGGAGGCGCCCAAAGGUUCCCUCAGAAUGGACGGAAACCAUUCGAAGAGUGCAAAGGCAGAAGGGAGCUUGACUGCGACACCGACGGGUGGAGCAGGUACGAAAGUAGGGCUUAGUGAUCCGGUGGUAUUAAGUGGGAAUGCCAUCGCUCAACGGAUAAAAGCUACCCUGGGAUAACAGGCUUAUCACUCCCAAGAGUUCACAUCGACGGAGUGGUUUGGCACCUCGAUGUCGGCUCAUCGCAUCCUGGGGCUGUAGUAGGUCCCAAGGGUUGGGCUGUUCGCCCAUUAAAGCGGUACGCGAGCUGGGUUCAGAACGUCGCGAGACAGUUCGGUCCCUAUCCGGCGUGGGCGCAGGAUAUCUGAGAGGAGCUGUCCUUAGUACGAGAGGACCGGGAUGGACGGACCGCUGGUGGACCGGUUGGCUUGCCAAAGCCAUGGCCGGGUAGCCAAGUCCGGAAGGGAUAAACGCUGAAGGCAUCUAAGCGUGAAGCCCCCCUCAAGAUGAGAUAUCCCAUUCUUAGUGAAGUAAACCCCCUUGAAGACGACGAGGUAGAUAGGGCAGAGGUGGAAGUGUGGUAACACAUGGAGCUGACUGUUACUAAUCGGGUGAGGGCUUGACCU
Molecule: ribosomal RNA, 1494 nt
Filed under: metagenome
Description: bacterial LSU rRNA
Rfam family: Bacterial large subunit ribosomal RNA
Source: RNAcentral